RNAcentral lists this ribosomal RNA (274 nucleotides) under uncultured bacterium. RNAcentral describes it as "partial 16S ribosomal RNA". It matches the Rfam family "Bacterial small subunit ribosomal RNA", at positions 523 to 796 of the family's 1533-position model. The record is from RNAcentral.
AUACGGAGGGUCCAAGCGUUAUCCGGAUUCAUUGGGUUUAAAGGGUCCGCAGGCGGGAAAAUAAGUCAGUGGUGAAAGCCUACAGCUCAACUGUAGAACUGCCAUUGAUACUGUUUUUCUUGAGUAUAGAUGAAGUGGGCGGAAUAUAUCAUGUAGCGGUGAAAUGCAUAGAUAUGAUAUAGAACACCGAUUGCGAAGGCAGCUCACUAAACUAUUACUGACGCUCAGGGACGAAAGCGUGGGGAGCGAACAGAAUUAGAUACCCUAGUAGUCC